CUUUCCUGGGAAAACAGCCAGUGGACAACCAGCAAGCCAUGGUGCGCAGGGAAUCUGUGGUCAAUCUGGAGAACUUCAGGAAGCAGUAUGUCCGCAGGCGGUGGAAGCUUUCCUUCAGCAUCGUGUCCCUGUGCAACCACCUCACCCGCUCGCUGAUGAAGAAGGUGCACCUGAGGCCAGAUGAGGACCUGAGGAACUGUGAGAGUGACACUGAGGAGGACAUCGCCAGGAGGAAAGCCCUCCACCCGCGGAGAAGGAGCAGCACCUCCUAACUGGCCCGACCUGCAGUGGCCACCAGGGAGGUCUGGGCCCAGCGGGGCUCCCUUCUGUGCAGACUCUUGGACUCAGCUCAGCACCAGCACCCAGGCGUCCUGAGCACUUUGCAAGAGAGAUGGGCCCACAGAAUUCAGAAGAGCUUGCAGGCGAGCCAGGAGACCCUGGGAGCUGUGGCUGUCUCCUGUGGAGGAGGCUCCGGCAUUCCCAAAGCUCUUAAUUCUCCAUAAAAUGGGCUUUCCUCUGUCUGCCAUCCUCAGAACCUG
Molecule: small RNA, 539 nt
Filed under: Pongo abelii (Sumatran orangutan)
Lineage: Eukaryota; Metazoa; Chordata; Mammalia; Primates; Hominidae
Description: processed transcript
Source: RNAcentral